UCCAUUUCGAUAUUUUAGCAGAAACCAGCUGACAGUUUGUUCUUGUAGACUACUCGAGUUAGAUUUGUCUUCGAUGACAAGUCACUGGAGGUGAAAGUAGGGGACCAGCUUCCGGAUUCAGGUGAAAAUGUCUUUGUGGGUGGCAAAAACCGUUGGAAGUACUCAACAUUUGUGAAUUGGGAACUUUGGUGGCCAAGUUUCCCCAUUCUGGUGUAUUUUAAGGAGACUCAGACAAAGCCUGAAGGACAGGUUCACUUUUUCCCAGUCAUUUUUAACGGAAAACAACUCUACGACGUAAUGGUAGAAAGAGCCUAUCCUUCGAAAACUAGCGGUCCAAAAUAAUCGAGAAGAUUUGGACUUAUAUGAUGAGAGAUUCCGAGAUCAAACUUCAAAAGCAUAAGGUUAAAGCUUGCCAUGCCUGUCAUUUAUUUGAAGCAUCACGAAGUCUAGAAUGCACCUGGUCUUCAUCAUCAGAUCUAUCAU
Molecule: long non-coding RNA, 483 nt
Organism: Hibiscus syriacus
Lineage: Eukaryota; Viridiplantae; Streptophyta; Magnoliopsida; Malvales; Malvaceae
Exons: 5
Source: RefSeq, a predicted model, not a curated record